RNAcentral lists this ribosomal RNA (253 nucleotides) under uncultured bacterium. RNAcentral's name for it is "partial 16S ribosomal RNA". It matches the Rfam family "Bacterial small subunit ribosomal RNA", at positions 524 to 776 of the family's 1533-position model. The record is from RNAcentral.
UACGAAGGGGGCUAGCGUUGUUCGGAUUUACUGGGCGUAAAGCGCACGUAGGCGGAUCGUUAAGUCGGGGGUGAAAUCCUGGAGCUCAACUCCAGAACUGCCUUCGAUACUGGCGAUCUUGAGUCCGGAAGAGGUGAGUGGAACUCCUAGUGUAGAGGUGGAAUUCGUAGAUAUUCGGAAGAACACCAGUGGCGAAGGCGACACACUGGCCCGUUACUGACGCUGAGGCGCGAAAGCGUGGGGAGCAAACAGG